GAUGAACGCUAGCGACAGGCUUAACACAUGCAAGUCGAGGGGCAGCACAGGUAGCAAUACCGGGUGGCGACCGGCGCACGGGUGAGUAACGCGUAUGCAACUUACCUAUCAGAGGGGGAUAACCCGGCGAAAGUCGGACUAAUACCGCAUGAAGCAGGGGUCCCGCAUGGGGAUAUUUGCUAAAGAUUCAUCGCUGAUAGAUAGGCAUGCGUUCCAUUAGGCAGUUGGCGGGGUAACGGCCCACCAAACCGACGAUGGAUAGGGGUUCUGAGAGGAAGGUCCCCCACAUUGGUACUGAGACACGGACCAAACUCCUACGGGAGGCAGCAGUGAGGAAUAUUGGUCAAUGGCCGAGAGGCUGAACCAGCCAAGUCGCGUGAGGGAGGAAGGUUCUAUGGAUCGUAAACCUCUUUUAUAAGGGAAUAAAGUGCGGGACGUGUCCCGUUUUGUAUGUACCUUAUGAAUAAGGAUCGGCUAACUCCGUG
This 485-nucleotide ribosomal RNA is filed under the name uncultured bacterium. RNAcentral describes it as "partial 16S ribosomal RNA". It matches the Rfam family "Bacterial small subunit ribosomal RNA", at positions 28 to 507 of the family's 1533-position model. The record is from RNAcentral.